GACGAACGCUGGCGGCGUGCCUAAUACAUGCAAGUUGAGCGCUGAAGGUUGGUACUUGUACCGACUGGAUGAGCAGCGAACGGGUGAGUAACGCGUGGGGAAUCUGCCUUUGAGCGGGGGACAACAUUUGGAAACGAAUGCUAAUACCGCAUAAAAACUUUAAACACAAGUUUUAAGUUUGAAAGAUGCAAUUGCAUCACUCAAAGAUGAUCCCGCGUUGUAUUAGUUAGUUGGUGAGGUAAAGGCUCACCAAGGCGAGGAUACAUAGCCGACCUGAGAGGGUGAUCGGCCACAUUGGGACUGAGACACGGCCCAAACUCCUACGGGAGGCAGCAGUAGGGAAUCUUCGGCAAUGGACGAAAGUCUGACCGAGCAACGCCGCGGGAGUGAAGAAGGGUUUCGGAUCGUAAAACUCUGUUGGUAGAGAAGAACGUUGGUGAGAGUGGAAAGCUCAUCAAGUGACGGUAACUACACAGAAAGGGACGGCUAACUACGUG
Molecule: ribosomal RNA, 497 nt
Filed under: uncultured bacterium
Lineage: Bacteria
Description: partial 16S ribosomal RNA
Rfam family: Bacterial small subunit ribosomal RNA
Source: RNAcentral